This 71-nucleotide transfer RNA is filed under the name Cordylochernes scorpioides. RNAcentral's name for it is "tRNA-Gly". It matches the Rfam family "tRNA". Rfam says of the family: Transfer RNA (tRNA) molecules are approximately 80 nucleotides in length. Their secondary structure includes four short double-helical elements and three loops (D, anti-codon, and T loops). Lineage: Eukaryota; Metazoa; Arthropoda; Arachnida; Pseudoscorpiones; Chernetidae. The record is from RNAcentral.
GCAUCGGUGGUUCUGUGGUAGAAUGCUCGCCUGCCACGCGGGCGGCCUGGGUUCGAUUCCCGGCCGAUGCA